This is a long non-coding RNA of Bacillus rossius redtenbacheri, 1234 nucleotides long. RefSeq lists it as uncharacterized. The record is from RefSeq and is a predicted model, not a curated record. NCBI's taxonomy places the organism in Eukaryota, Metazoa, Arthropoda, Insecta, Phasmatodea, Bacillidae. The transcript has 7 exons.
UUACAAAAACUGAAAGGUAUUUCCAAUUUUUUUGAUUAUGUUAAAUUCACUGAUGUGAGCUGCGAUAAAUCAUAUAAAGUGGAAUUACGGUGUAGUGAAGGAACACUUCCUGUAUUAACUGUAAAAACCCGGCCGGUUGACCCCAACCGUAAAAAUCACUCUGAGGUCAGAACAAGUCAAGUCAGAGGCUGGCUGCGUGAAAAGUGGAGAAGUAGCUUAUUGACUAUCCAUCGAAGAACUGUAGUUGUUUUCCAAGCAUUUUUCGACGAUCACGACUGAGGAAGACUACGAAAAAUGACGGAGCACAAAAUCGAAAUAAGAGGGCACAUGCUCUUAGAAAAUUCUUUGAUGGUGCGCUUAGGCCACUACGUAGCGCGGACAAGAUAAGGAACUACCUUUAGGUGGGAAAGAAAUGGGAAUGGUAAAGAAGUUUUGGGGUUCAGUGUUUCCGGAAGUAAGAUUUUCAACCAGUUAAAGAUUGUAAGAAGGCGGAAGGAGGAGUUGCGAGGGAAGAAGAUCAUCCUGCUUACAGGAACAAACGAUGUUAUGACAAACAACCGGUACAAAUGGAGGUAUCUAAAAUUUACAAACGUAGUAAAGUUCCUGGAGAGUAUUGAUUGUGAGGUAGUGUUGAUGACACUGCCUCCAAUCCCAGUUCUUUGUGAGGAAGAUGAGAGGACUGGCCUUCUGAUGAAGUUCAAUGAACUCAUUAGGCACACUGCAGAAAUUACGCCUGAUUGAUGUCUACCAACUUUUCAUGGAUGGGUCAGUCAUCAAAGAAACAUUGUUUGAAAACUUCUACUACAAUAAGAGAAUCGACAAGCUCCACUGGAACCGCGAGGUCGUCAGAAAAAUUGAAACAGAAUUAUGAAAUAAUUUUUGAGAUCAGACAUCAUCGACGCUUCUGGCAGCAGGUAACCUUCAACGUGGUAACGUUACUAUUAUUUGGUAGUGUUUUCUUAUUCCUCUUCUCAGACAAAGGCCUUUAAAAGCCGGAUAGUUCUACUUAAAUUUAGUUACAGACAAAGCCUUAUAAGAUCGGAUUGUUAGCAUAGUAUAUGUUAAGUUUUUUGACAGACCUAGUGAAAGCUAGGUUCCACAGUUUCUAUAUGCCACUCACUAUGUAAAAAGUUUAAAGCAAAUAAUUUAGUGCCUUAUUCAUAAUCAUGAAGACAGCCAGCUAGGCUGGCGAUAAGACAAAGAGGUUUAUUAUAACCUCUGCUUUAAAUUCAUU